Molecule: ribosomal RNA, 673 nt
Filed under: Debaryomyces hansenii
Lineage: Eukaryota; Fungi; Ascomycota; Pichiomycetes; Serinales; Debaryomycetaceae
Description: eukaryotic LSU rRNA
Rfam family: 5.8S ribosomal RNA (bases 261-414)
Source: RNAcentral
UGUGAGUGGGAAAAAAAAAAAGUCCAAGGUUUCCGUAGGUGAACCUGCGGAAGGAUCAUUACAGUAUUCUUUUUGCCAGCGCUUAAUUGCGCGGCGAAAAAACCUUACACACAGUGUUUUUUGUUAUUACAAGAACUUUUGCUUUGGUCUGGACUAGAAAUAGUUUGGGCCAGAGGUUUACUGAACUAAACUUCAAUAUUUAUAUUGAAUUGUUAUUUAUUUAAUUGUCAAUUUGUUGAUUAAAUUCAAAAAAUCUUCAAAACUUUCAACAACGGAUCUCUUGGUUCUCGCAUCGAUGAAGAACGCAGCGAAAUGCGAUAAGUAAUAUGAAUUGCAGAUUUUCGUGAAUCAUCGAAUCUUUGAACGCACAUUGCGCCCUCUGGUAUUCCAGAGGGCAUGCCUGUUUGAGCGUCAUUUCUCUCUCAAACCUUCGGGUUUGGUAUUGAGUGAUACUCUUAGUCGAACUAGGCGUUUGCUUGAAAUGUAUUGGCAUGAGUGGUACUGGAUAGUGCUAUAUGACUUUCAAUGUAUUAGGUUUAUCCAACUCGUUGAAUAGUUUAAUGGUAUAUUUCUCGGUAUUCUAGGCUCGGCCUUACAAUAUAACAAACAAGUUUGACCUCAAAUCAGGUAGGAUUACCCGCUGAACUUAAGCAUAUCAAAGGGGGGGGGGGAA